RNAcentral lists this ribosomal RNA (3656 nucleotides) under Drosophila virilis. RNAcentral's name for it is "eukaryotic LSU rRNA". The stretch from base 2334 to 3656 matches the Rfam family "Eukaryotic large subunit ribosomal RNA", at positions 1890 to 3280 of the family's 3401-position model. The record is from RNAcentral. Lineage: Eukaryota; Metazoa; Arthropoda; Insecta; Diptera; Drosophilidae.
CUAACGACUCUAACUUAAUAAAAUAGUUUGGAUAGCGCUCACGAAAGCGGUCAAAAAGAAUGACAGUUAUGAGGAAAUAACUGUUUUAAUUGGAAAAAAAAAAUAAGCCGCAUUUUUUUAUUAGAUUCUUAUUUUCACCAUUUCACCAUUAUUUUCACCUACCAUUCACCUUAAUGUCUUCAUGUACUAAUUUAAUAAUACAGUUUUAUAACUCCAUUAUUCUUUUUAUAUAAACAUAUGCCGGCAAGGCAACACUCCACAGUCAUAUGAAUUUACCGUAUUUAAAAUUUUUCAUAUGAGAUGCCCUGCGCGACACCACUCCCUAUAUAGGUUUUUUGACACAUCAUCUAUAAUGGCGAUAUUUUUUCCAAAUGCUGCCAUGCACUGUAACGUUUUCAUGUACUAAUUUUAUAACAAUUCAAUAUAAUUUUAUAUAAGUUGAUAAAUAAAUAAAGAUUAAUGUCAUUUAUAAUUUUAUUUGUAUAUUAAUAAUCAUGUAUCAAUAAUUAUAUACAAUAUAUCAAAAUUUCAUAGUCACAAUUAUUUUCCAAUGUAUUUUCGAAAUGUCAAUUGUUAUAUUAUUAUUAAUAUAUAUACAGUUUAAUGUUGUUUAAAUUACAAUUUAAUUAUGUAUGUUACAGAAUAGUCUUCAAUUUUUGUAUUAUUAAUAUUAAUUUUCACAUCCAAGCAAAAUUUCUUCAUCACGUAUCAUAUAAAAUUUAAAUAUAUUUGAGAAGAGGCUAAUAAGAAUAGGAAUAAAAAAUGUAAGUAUUCUGUUUCUUCUGUAUUUGAUGAUUUCCAUCCGUCAAUUCCAUAUUUUCAUGUAUGUGUAUGUAUAUAUUUCAGUAUUGCAUUAAAUGUUAUAUAUGUAUAUAUAUAUUGUUCUAUGCUUUCCUAAAAAAUAAUUGACGUUUUAAUACUGGUGUCAAUUUUAUAUAUUUUUGUUCAUCCAAAAAUUUCAAAAUAUUGUAUAGUUGUAGAUCUCAAAAAAAUACCCCUUAAGUAUUUUAUAUAUAAAUAUUGUUCAAUGUUAUAUGCUCUCCUCUUCAAUAAUUAUUGAAGUUUUAAUAUAGGUAUUGUGUAUAUAAAUCUUUAUAUAUUCCAUCCGUCAAUUCCCUAAUUUCACAUAGAUAUAUAUACAUAUAUAUAUAUAUAUAUAUAUAUAUAUAUAUAUAUAUAUAUAUAUAUAUAUAUAUAUAUAUCAAUAUUGCCUUAAGUAUAUUGUGUAUAUAAAUAUUGUUGUAUGUUAUACGCUCUCCUCAAUAAUAAUUGAAGACUUAAUUAAGCUAUGCGUAUAUAUAUAUAUAUAUAUAUAUAUAAAUAUAUACCUCAAAAUUUUUACGACUGAAAUGUCUACAUUGGGGACUUUUCAAACAACACAAUUCUUAGAGUAAACCUUAGGAUUAAUAAAAAAACGGUACAUUUGCUUAACAUUAUCCAACCAACACUUUGCCUGUACGUGAAAUAAUAAAAUUUUUAUAUUAUCUUAAAGUUGGUCUACUUUAUGCUGAGAGGAUUUUUCGGUAACAUAGAUUUUAAAUGCAUUUUCUGACAUCUGCUUAACUACGAUGCAAUUCGAUUAGAGUUAUUUGGAAUAUAUUUGAUUAUUUAAAAAGAAUAAAACACAUUUCGAACUCUAGUAUUCCCAAAAUAUAUGUUUUUUACUUAAAUGUUUAUAUCCUCAUUUGGUCGAUGUGGCAUCUCCACGAAGUGAAACACCACAACUUAGGGUGCCAAACAUCUAACGUACUUUAUGAGGACUCGGUUCUCGAAAAUCUCUUAGUAUAUAACAUACAAAUUUUUCGAGUAAUGUACGCGGGGUUGCCAGAUGCAGAUAUUUUUGGAUAAGCAACGUGUAUUAUAAGGACACAGGAACGAUGAGAUUUGGUCCAGUUCACACCUUAAUUUAGUAAAUAACAAUCAAAUGGCUGUCCCCAAAUAACAUACUGAGGAAGAUGCAAAUAUUUUAUAUAUAUAGCGAUUAUAUAGAGGGUAUGAGGACACAGGAACGGUGAAAUACAACAAAACUCGAAUGUAAGUAUAACGCCUAUAAAACUAAGCAAUAUUUUAUUAAAUCUAUUUGGGGUAAGUCGAACAUUGGAUGACCCAUUCCGUGUUUGUCGUCAACAAAACUGGGAAGUGGCAAUUGCUACGAACUGCCGACCAAAGCUGUAAUUUGGUACCACGGGUAACCAGGAGCCCACGGAACUCGUUCCGUCCUGGUUAAUUGUUGUGGCCCUUCGGGGAGUAAUGUGGUGGCUGUGGUUCGAUACCCAAUUGUGGGGAGAGUUUUCACUCGGAGUGGAGUUGCGUGUCAACCGGGUGCUGUACCCAUAGACCAGCGGAGGUAUAGAUAGAUCUCACCUCCCACCAAGGGGGAAUGUCAUGUUCGACAAGCAUGCAUUCAAUUUGGUAACGAAGGGGCACUGCACAUGCAGUGUCUUGGAGGGGCGCUAUUCCGACGCUUUGUUUCGGCUCGCUGUAUUUCGAAUACCGUGGUAGUAAAUCCCUACGGGGUACACGCCACGUUAAACAAAUAUGUUUUGUUUAGUCCCUAUCUACGAUCUAGCGAAACCACAGCCCAGGGAACGGGCUUGGAAUAAUUAGCGGGGAAAGAAGACCCUUUUGAGCUUGACUCUAAUCUGGCAGUGUAAGGAGACAUAAGAGGUGUAGAAUAAGUGGGAGAUAUUCGACUUCGGUUUGGUAUCGACAAUGAAAUACCACUACUCUUAUUGUUUCCUUACUUACUUGAUUAAAUGGAACGUGUAUCAUUUCCUAGCCAUUAUACGGAUAUAAUUAUUAUGUCUUAUGGUAUUGGGUUUUGAUGCAAGCUUCUUGAUCAAAGUAUCACGAGUUUGUUAUAUAAUCGCAAACAAAUUCUUUAAUGAGAGAAUGCAUUUAUGUAUUAUUGAAUUAAAAAUUUGCUAUAACUCCAAUUACUCAGGUAUGAUCCAAUUCAAGGACAUUGCCAGGUAGGGAGUCUGACUGGGGCGGUACAUCUCUCAAAUAAUAACGGAGGUGUCCCAAGGCCAGCUCAGUGCGGACAGAAACCACACAUAGAGCAAAAAGGCAAAUGCUGACUUGAUCUCGGUGUUCAGUACACACAGGGACAGCAAAAGCUCGGCCUAUCUAUCCUUUUGGUUUAAAGAGUUUUUAACAAGAGGUGUCAGAAAAGUUACCAUAGGGAUAACUGGCUUGUGGCGGCCAAGCGUUCAUAGCGACGUCGCUUUUUGAUCCUUCGAUGUCGGCUCUUCCCAUAAUUGUGAGGCAAACUUCACCAAGCGUUGGAUUGUUCACCCAUGCAAGGGAACGUGAGCUGGGUUUAGACCGUCGUGAGACAGGUUAGUUUUACCCUACUAAUGACAAAACGUUGUUGCGACAGCAUUCCUUCCAAUGGCACAAUACUUGUUCGAGCGAACAGUGGUAUGACGCUACGUCCGUUGGAUUAUGCCUGAACGCCUCUAAGGUCGUAUCCGUGCUGGACUGCAAUGAUAAAUAAGGGGCAAUUUGCAUUGUAUGGCUUCUAAACCAUUAAAAGUUUUUAAUUUGUUUUAUUAACGACAAUGGAUGUGAUGCCAAUGUUAUUUAUAACAUAGUAAAUUGGGAGGAUCUUCGAUCACCUGAUGCGGCGCUAGUUAUGUUUUAAAACAUUAUUU